GUCUAUGGCCACACCACCCCGAACACGCCUGAUCGCGUCUGAUCUCGGAAGCUCAGCAGGGCCAGGCCUGUUGAGUACUUGGAUGGGAGACCACCUAGGAAGACCGGGUGCUGUAGGCG
Molecule: ribosomal RNA, 119 nt
Filed under: Pteropus alecto (black flying fox)
Lineage: Eukaryota; Metazoa; Chordata; Mammalia; Chiroptera; Pteropodidae
Source: RNAcentral